AUCGAACGCUGGCGGGAUGCCUUACACAUGCAAGUCGAACGGCAGCACGGGUGCUUGCCCCUGGUGGCGAGUGGCGAACGGGUGAGUAAUACAUCGGAACAUGUCCUGUAGUGGGGGAUAGCCCGGCGAAAGCCGGAUUAAUACCGCAUACGAUCUACGGAUGAAAGCGGGGGACCUUCGGGCCUCGCGCUAUAGGGUUGGCCGAUGGCUGAUUAGCUAGUUGGUGGGGUAAAGGCCUACCAAGGCGACGAUCAGUAGCUGGUCUGAGAGGACGACCAGCCACACUGGGACUGAGACACGGCCCAGACUCCUACGGGAGGCAGCAGUGGGGAAUUUUGGACAAUGGGCGAAAGCCUGAUCCAGCAAUGCCGCGUGUGUGAAGAAGGCCUUCGGGUUGUAAAGCACUUUUGUCCGGAAAGAAAUCCUUGGCCCUAAUACGGUCGGGGGAUGACGGUACCGGAAGAAUAAGCACCGGCUAACUACGUGC
Molecule: ribosomal RNA, 487 nt
Filed under: uncultured bacterium
Lineage: Bacteria
Description: partial 16S ribosomal RNA
Rfam family: Bacterial small subunit ribosomal RNA
Source: RNAcentral